GAGAGCUCUUAGAGGGAUUAUCCGCAGCCUGAAGAAAGAAGGUUACAACUGAGGAAGAACUUCUGAACAGGGAAGAGUGGAAGAAAAGACUGCAGUACGUAGAGCAUCAAGGGAAGCUGUGGAAAUAUAUUUUCUUAAGUACAGGCUCAGCUCCAGAAGCAGACCCAGAAUGGCAUCCUUCUCUGAGACCCAGACCCCAGCCCCUUUUCAUGGAAGACCAGCACAAAGGAGGAAGUAGGUUAGGGAAUGGUAAGGCUCCAUGUGAUGGGACUAAUGUGGAGAGGCCUGGGGCCUUUCCCUGAGGACUGGAUGGCUGGAGUUUGGGAGCCUGAGUUGACAGAGGAGGCUAAGCCCGGGCAGCUACUUUGUUCCAGAAAUCUAAGGUCCCUGGAGGGAGGCUCUGCUUUGGGAGGGGGAAGGGAGCUAACAUUGCAGAGCACCAACUGUGAACCAGGUACAAUGGCAGAGCCUUUCCAUACCUGUACUCACAACUAGCGGGUGAGGAGUCAAGGCAAAUAGGUGUCUCAUAGCUCCCCAUAUCUCGGCAGUCGACCACCUCCUCCUUUGAUUCUCUGAUGUCACUGCCAGUUCUCCUCCUAUUGCUCUGACCUGUCUUUCUCUGUGUCCUUUGCAAACUCAUUCUCAACUCCUUAGACUCAGUCAAGUCCCCCAGUUACACACUUCCAUGGUACUAUAUAUCAUUCCUUCAGAGCACUUAACACAGUUAUUUCCUAUGUAUUUGUCCAGUCAUUUGAAUAAUGAUCCUAGUUUCAUUGGAUGGAAAGUUCCACAAGGUCAGUGACCAUUUCUAUCUGUGUUCACCAAUGUGUUCC
RNAcentral lists this long non-coding RNA (833 nucleotides) under Homo sapiens (human). RNAcentral describes it as "non-protein coding lnc-CDK12-1:5". Lineage: Eukaryota; Metazoa; Chordata; Mammalia; Primates; Hominidae. The record is from RNAcentral.